RNAcentral lists this ribosomal RNA (425 nucleotides) under uncultured bacterium. RNAcentral describes it as "partial 16S ribosomal RNA". It matches the Rfam family "Bacterial small subunit ribosomal RNA", at positions 354 to 796 of the family's 1533-position model. The record is from RNAcentral.
GUGGGGAAUAUUGGACAAUGGGCGAAAGCCUGAUCCAGCAAUGCCGCGUGAGUGAUGAAGGCCCUAGGGUUGUAAAGCUCUUUUACCCGGGAUGAUAAUGACAGUACCGGGAGAAUAAGCUCCGGCUAACUCCGUGCCAGCAGCCGCGGUAAUACGGAGGGAGCUAGCGUUGUUCGGAAUUACUGGGCGUAAAGCGCGCGUAGGCGGUUUUCUAAGUCAGGGGGGAAAGCCCGGGGCUCAACCCCGGAAUAGCCCUUGAAACUGGAAGACUAGAAUCUUGGAGAGGGCAGUGGAAUUCCGAGUGUAGAGGUGAAAUUCGUAGAUAUUCGGAAGAACACCAGUGGCGAAGGCGACUGACUGGACAAGUAUUGACGCUGAGGUGCGAAAGCGUGGGGAGCAAACAGGAUUAGAAACCCCGGUAGUCC